This is a long non-coding RNA of Microplitis demolitor, 1040 nucleotides long. RefSeq lists it as uncharacterized. The record is from RefSeq and is a predicted model, not a curated record. Lineage: Eukaryota; Metazoa; Arthropoda; Insecta; Hymenoptera; Braconidae. The transcript is spliced from 3 exons.
AUUGGAACUGUUUCUAAAGGUCUGACCUCAAAAAUUGACAUAUUCGGCAUUUUCGCAGUAAACCAAGGACUUAUAAUAGUGUAACAUUCAUAUAAUCUACUUCGGUUGAACAACUGCGCAAUUCAGAUCAAGCGGUUCCUUAGAUGUCUAGAUGAAUUGCUUGCGUGUCUAUGCUACCAGCAGCCGCUUAAGUUCGCAGCAAACGCCGAUCAACACGGAACUUACACGACGACGCUUAACUGAGAAAGAAACUGGCGUAUGACAGCUUCGGGGGCUACAAUAUACUCAUAUCCUAUACCUCCUAUACUCCACGAUUAUUAUUUUUGCAUAGGCGCCACUUUCCGACGAGAUAUUGAAUUUAAAAGACUCAAUUCGCAGCGCUAUCUACCGUCAAAAUUGUGCAAGUUGAUAACUUUUACUUACAAUGAAAAUUUAACUUUUGGAUGUCAACAUUUUUCUGGUUAAUAAAUUGCUGUCAAUUUGUGAUCAAUUGAUGCCAAUUUCAGCCUUUGCAAAUUGUUGUUAACUUUCUCAGAAAAUUGCUGACAAUUUGCAAUGAAUCAAUAACGGCUUUUGUGAAUGAUGCAGCAACUUGUUGCUAACUUUCUCAAAAAUGAGCAUCCAAAUGCCGACAAGUUCUGUAACCGUGAUAUAGUUGACAAUUAAUUAGAAAAGUAUGUUGUCAGCAAUUUGAUGAGAACUUUUUCUGUCAAAUUUUCUUCAUAUUACAGCUGCAGAUUCUUCGAAACUUUCUGGGAAAGUUGAAAUUUAGUUGAUGACAACUUCAGCCUUUGUAACUGAUACUGCAAUUUAUUGUCAACAUUCUUGCAACUGCGUAACAGUUGAUGGCAAUAACUCAGGGAACAAUAAUUUGACAUCAAUUUGACAAGAACUUUCUGGCAUAUUUUCAUCAUAUUGCAGCUGGAAAUUGUAAGAAACUUUCUUAUAAAAUUGGCGUCCUUAUGAGAAUCCCAGCUCCUGUAUCUAAAUUGACAACAAAUUGCUGGGUAAUAUGAUAAAAAUUCAAGCAACUCAUUCAU